RNAcentral lists this ribosomal RNA (571 nucleotides) under Gracilibacillus sp. YIM 94021. RNAcentral's name for it is "bacterial SSU rRNA". It matches the Rfam family "Bacterial small subunit ribosomal RNA", at positions 50 to 602 of the family's 1533-position model. The record is from RNAcentral. Lineage: Bacteria; Bacillati; Bacillota; Bacilli; Caryophanales; Bacillaceae.
AGCGCGGGAAGCUUGUCUGAUCCCUUCGGGGUGACGCGAGUGGAACGAGCGGCGGACGGGUGAGUAACACGUGGGCAACCUGCCUGUAAGACUGGGAUAACUCCGGGAAACCGGGGCUAAUACCGGAUAAUACAUUGCUUCGCAUGAAGCAAUGUUGAAAGAUGGCUUUUAGCUAUCACUUACAGAUGGGCCCGCGGCGCAUUAGCUAGUUGGUAAGGUAAUGGCUUACCAAGGCAACGAUGCGUAGCCGACCUGAGAGGGUGAUCGGCCACACUGGGACUGAGACACGGCCCAGACUCCUACGGGAGGCAGCAGUAGGGAAUCUUCCGCAAUGGACGAAAGUCUGACGGAGCAACGCCGCGUGAACGAAGAAGGUUUUCGGAUCGUAAAGUUCUGUUGUUAGGGAAGAACAAGUACCGUUCGAAUAGGGCGGUACCUUGACGGUACCUAUCGAGGAAGCCCCGGCUAACUACGUGCCAGCAGCCGCGGUAAUACGUAGGGGGCAAGCGUUGUCCGGAAUUAUUGGGCGUAAAGCGCGCGUAGGCGGUUUCUUAAGUCUGAUGUGAAAUCU